CAGGCACCAGCCCUCAACUUCAAAGGGGACUGCUGGGCACUCUGCACUCUGCCAGGCGCCAGCCCUCAACUUCAAAGAUUUCAGCCCCAAUCACUUAGAAACAUAAAACCCCUCAACAUACAAUAGAUUCAACUCAAGAACACAACCGGAAACAUAUCCCUCAUCAACAAGAACUUCAACAACACAACCAACAACUUCAACAACCAAAAUAAAUCUUUU
Molecule: long non-coding RNA, 219 nt
Filed under: Solanum tuberosum (potato)
Lineage: Eukaryota; Viridiplantae; Streptophyta; Magnoliopsida; Solanales; Solanaceae
Description: long non-coding RNA (STUB_LNC004643)
Source: RNAcentral